Molecule: ribosomal RNA, 1012 nt
Filed under: Actinopolyspora lacussalsi subsp. righensis
Lineage: Bacteria; Bacillati; Actinomycetota; Actinomycetes; Actinopolysporales; Actinopolysporaceae
Description: bacterial LSU rRNA
Rfam family: Bacterial large subunit ribosomal RNA
Source: RNAcentral
AUGGUAGGCGUACGGUGGAUGCCUGGGCACCAGAUGCUGAUGAAGGACGUGGGAGGCCGCGAUAGGCCUGGGGGAGUUGUCAACCGAGCUGUGAUCCCAGGGUGUCCGAAUGGGGUAACCUGGCCGGGGUGAUGCCCGGUCACCGGUGUCUGAAGAGAUUAGGGCGCCGGGGGGCACGUGGGGAACUGAAACAUCUCAGUACCCGCAGGAAGAGAAAACAAGAUGUGAUUCCCUGAGUAGUGGUGAGCGAACGGGGAGGAUGGCUAAACCGUCUGCGUGUCAAGCCGGUGGGUGUUGCGUGGGCGGGGUUGUGGGAGCGCCUGGUCUCUGCCGCCGCAGGGGCGCUGGGUGUGUGGUGUUAGCUGAAGGUGUUGGAAGGCACUGGCGGAGUGGGUGAGACCCCCGUAGGUGAAGGCACUGCAUAUCUGGUGGGGUGUGGUCCCGAGUAGCGCGGGACUCGUGCAAUCUCGUGUGAAUCGGCCAGGACCGCCUGGUAAGCCUGAAUACGUCUGGUGACCGAUAGUGGAUGUGUACCGUGAGGGACUGGUGAAAAGUACCCCGGGAGGGGAGUGAAAGAGUUCCUGAAACCGUGCGCUGUUAAACCGUCAGAGCAUGCCCGGUGACGGGUGUGUGAUGGCGUGCCUUUUGAAGAAUGAGCCUGCGAGUUAGUGGUGCGUGGCGAGGUUAACCCGUGUGGGGGAGCCGGAGCGAAAGCGAGUCUGAAUAGGGCGAGUGUAGUCGCGUGCUCUAGACCCGAAACCGAGUGAGCUACCCGUGGCCAGGGUGAAGCGCGGGUAAGACCGUGUGGAGGCCCGAACCCACCAGGGUUGAAAACCUGGGGGAUGAGCUGUGGGUAGGGGUGAAAGGCCAAUCAAACUCGGAGAUAGCUGGUUCUCCCCGAAAUGCAUUUAGGUGCAGCGUCGCGUGGUGCUUGGUGCAGGUAGAGCGACUGGAUGGCUGAUGGCCCCGGUGGGGGUACUGACGUCAACUAAACUCCGAAUGGCAUCAACGU